This 179-nucleotide unclassified non-coding RNA is filed under the name uncultured Cantharellales. RNAcentral describes it as "sequence contains ITS1". The record is from RNAcentral. Lineage: Eukaryota; Fungi; Basidiomycota; Agaricomycetes; Cantharellales.
AUGAAUCAUAGAGGGUUGAUGCUGGCAGUCCGACUGCAUGUGCUUGCUCUCUUAAUCCAUUCUACACCUGUGCACUUAAUGAUUUCAAAGGUAUGGUUUAAGCCUGCCUUUGGAACUUAUAUAAACUCUUUGCUUGAAAUAAAUGUAUGUUUUUGUCUGCCGCAAGGCAAAAUUAGGUA